RNAcentral lists this unclassified non-coding RNA (1678 nucleotides) under Hevea brasiliensis (rubber tree). The record is from RNAcentral. Lineage: Eukaryota; Viridiplantae; Streptophyta; Magnoliopsida; Malpighiales; Euphorbiaceae.
AAUAAUAAUAAUAAUAAGGAAAAAACAGCUCUGAUUGCAUUGGCACGAAACUUCCAUGUUCUGGGCAUUCUGAAAUACCAAGAACAAAAGCCAAUCAAUUAUUGAAAAGAUGCUGAGCUGGAGAAAGCAUUUUAACUUUCCUUUACUUGUUGAUUUUGUCAUGUUUAUUAAAUUUUCAAAAAGCCUGAAGCAUUAGCAGGAUCAGAUCCACAUCCACUUCCAGUCCACUAUUCAGGAAUCUCUGCAUUUUCGGACGAUGCUGCCAGGGGUUUUCGCAUCUGGGUAACUCCUCCUUUCUUAUUUAUUUUGUGGGUGUUUUUCAGUUUCUUCAGUAUUGGAGUAUUAAUUUAGAUCUUAAGCAAUGCGGUUGGUUUUUAAGUUUUCUCUCCCUAUAUUUUGCCGCUGGUUUUGCUAAAUUAUCGCUUACUAAUCUAUUUUAGAGUUCAGAUUGGACACCAAGUUUUGUUCUUUGACCUUUCAUUUUGGUUUUUAUUUUCCCCAUUUUUUGACAUUGCUUUCAAAAUUUUUGUAUGUAUUUUUUUCUUUCUCGAAACAACCCACGUGGGCUGCUAUUUGGUCUUUUUACCUAUAACUUGUGUUUAUUAGAGUACUUUUCUUCAAGAAAUUAAAGCUUAGCCGAUAAGGCCCGUUUCUCCAAAGCGGUGGGAAGAGAUGGUUACGUGGGUAGUCCUUCAUUGAGCUGUCUGUUAGGUCUUUGUUUUUGGCUGGGAACUUGCUUUGUUUUUCCCUUUUCUUACUGGGUCUCCUUUUUCCGCUUAACCAUUUGAAUCUCAGUCAUUACAUAUUCUUUUAUAUGUAUUUGAUGAUUUGAAUUUUGGGCUCUUCAUCUGCUGGCUUAUAAAAUAUAUUUCAGUUGAUAUUUGAGCUCUUUUGCUGUUAGGUGUUCCUUGCUAUUGGUUUGAAUAAAGAAUAGUACAAGCUGUUUUUGUUGUUAUCCUGUUGUAUUAGGAGGAAACCUUAACCUCUCGUGCUCUGCCAUUUUUCUUUUCUUUCUUCACAAGGUUUGGUUUUCUAUCAGGGAAGAAAAGUAAUUGCCAAAGUUUUAUAGAUAAUUAAGUUGAUGGGGGGCAAAAAUUCAAGGGAGGGAAGUUGGAGGUCCAAUUCUUCUAUACGUUCAAAUUCGUCGUCAUGGGGAGGUUCAAAUCAUGGUUAUUCUGAAUCCUCGUAUGGUCAAGAAAACUACAGCUACAACCACCCGCCCCAGCAAUUUUAUGGUCAAGAAGGUUAUAGCUACAACUACGCACCUCAUCAAUCAGAUGGGUCACAUCAACAUUGUUCCUCCUCGCAGAACUUUAACCAUGAUAGAAGGCAGCUUGAUAGGAAGUAUUCAAGAAUUGCUGAUGAUUACAAGUCCUUGGACCAGGUGACUGAGGCCCUUGCACGUGCUGGCCUUGAGUCUUCCAAUCUUAUUGUUGGUAUUGAUUUCACAAAGAGCAAUGAGUGGACAGGUGCAAGAUCAUUUAACAGACGAAGCUUGCAUCACAUUGGAGAUGGUUUAAAUCCCUAUGAACAAGCAAUAUCCAUUAUUGGAAAAACUUUAGCUGCAUUUGACGAGGAUAACUUGAUUCCCUGUUUUGGAUUUGGGGAUGCUUCCACACAUGAUCAGGAUGUUUUCUGCUUCUAUCCUGAUGAGAGAUUCUGCAAUGGAUUUGAGGAA